This is a long non-coding RNA of Chelonia mydas (Green sea turtle), 743 nucleotides long. RefSeq lists it as uncharacterized. The record is from RefSeq and is a predicted model, not a curated record. The transcript is spliced from 5 exons. NCBI's taxonomy places the organism in Eukaryota, Metazoa, Chordata, Testudines, Cheloniidae.
UGCAUUGCGCCUUUCCUGUAAUAAAAGCGGGUUUUUACAAGUGAGAUUGGGUUUUUCUCAAACUCCGAUUUCCCCUUAUUCCCUCCGCCCGGUUGCUGGAGUGUGAAGUGUGUGUUGGGGGGGAAGUGGGGGGCCUUGCAUUGAUGGAAGAGGUGGGAUCACUUUCUGAAUAUAAAGGUGUCAACUGAAGGCCCGUCCCUGGGGAUAAAACUUGGCUGGAACACAAGAUCACUUCCUAUCAUUCUUGGAGGGGGUGAGGAAAUCAAGAAGAAAUUAGAAGAAAAGGGGAGAAAGGUGUGCAAUGGACUGAUCUGUUUUGGAAUUUAUACGCACAUUGCGGGUUGCAGUGACUAUAUCACAAUAUCUUUGGUCGUUCUUUUACUUCACUUGUAUUCAGUGAACACAUUCCCUCUGGUUAUCCAUCAAUCAAUAAGCUAAAAAACACAAGGUUAUACGUAUCUGAGACAAUUUCCAGCGGGUGCCAAUGAUAAGGGGCUCUCAAACUGUUGUUCCUGGAGGACUUGCUGGUGGACUGCAGAGAGUUUGCUGAUCUCAUGGUGCUAACGUUCUAGGAUUUCACCUGCUAAAUUGCUUUAAAAGAAGCUACAGAUAUAUAUUAAAGACUUUCCCACUGUUACUUUUCCAUGUGCACAGUUUGUUGUAGCUAUCACUGGGAUAUUUUGUGAUUACAAACACAAGGAAAGGAGCUCUAGGGGAUUGGGAAUGGGAGGGAAGAUGGUGCA